RNAcentral lists this transfer RNA (82 nucleotides) under Blumeria graminis f. sp. tritici. It matches the Rfam family "tRNA". From Rfam's summary of the family: Transfer RNA (tRNA) molecules are approximately 80 nucleotides in length. Their secondary structure includes four short double-helical elements and three loops (D, anti-codon, and T loops). The record is from Rfam by way of RNAcentral. RNAcentral also lists the same sequence under 1 other name. Lineage: Eukaryota; Fungi; Ascomycota; Leotiomycetes; Helotiales; Erysiphaceae.
GGCCUGAUAGUUCAGUGGUAGAAUUCUUGCUUUGGGGAACCGAAAAUGUAAGAGGUCUCCGGUUCGAUCCCGGAUUAGGCCC